Molecule: ribosomal RNA, 586 nt
Filed under: uncultured bacterium
Lineage: Bacteria
Description: partial 16S ribosomal RNA
Rfam family: Bacterial small subunit ribosomal RNA
Source: RNAcentral
UGGGGAAUUUUGGACAAUGGGCGAAAGCCUGAUCCAGCAAUGCCGCGUGUGUGAAGAAGGCCUUCGGGUUGUAAAGCACUUUUGUCCGGAAAGAAAUCCUUGGCUCUAAUACAGUCGGGGGAUGACGGUAUCGGAAGAAUAAGCACCGGCUAACUACGUGCCAGCAGCCGCGGUAAUACGUAGGGUGCAAGCGUUAAUCGGAAUUACUGGGCAUAAAGCGUGCGCAGGCGGUUUGCUAAGACCGAUGUGAAAUCCCCGGGCUCAACCUGGGAACUGCAUUGGUGACUGGCAGGCUAGAGUAUGGCAGAGGGGGGUAGAAUUCCACGUGUAGCAGUGAAAUGCGUAGAGAUGUGGAGGAAUACCGAUGGCGAAGGCAGCCCCCUGGGCCAAUACUGACGCUCAUGCACGAAAGCGUGGGGAGCAAACAGGAUUAGAUACCCUGGUAGUCCACGCCCUAAACGAUGUCAACUAGUUGUUGGGGAUUCAUUUCCUUAGUAACGUAGCUAACGCGUGAAGUUGACCGCCUGGGGAGUACGGUCGCAAGAUUAAAACUCAAAUGAAUUGACGGGGUCAUAGCUGUUUCCUG